UUGAGAUUUUAGAUCAUCAGAUGCGUAGACUAAGGAAUAAAUAAUUUCCCUUGGUCAAAGUUCUUUGGCAGAAUCAGUUAGUUUAGGGCGCUACUUGGUAAGAGAAGCAGAUAUGCGAGCCAAGUACCCUCAGAUCUUCUUCGCAAACUCAGAUUUAGCUGAAGGUAGCACUCUUCCUUAAUCCAGUUCCUUACUAAUCAUAGAUUCAGCUAUGUAGUUUUCCUCAUGUAAGUUUAUGUACUCAUAGAAUUACUCAAAAGCUCAGAAUGAUUUAGAUUCAGUUGUGCAAUUUGUUUCAGUUGUGCAUGCUAUCAUAUAUCCUCAGUAUCCUUAGUCAAACUAGCCAUAUUCGAGGAUGAAUGAUUCCAAGAGAGAGAUAUUGUAACACCCUGUACUUUUUCUAGUUCAAGUUAGUAUUGGAAAUGUAAAGAGUUAGCUUCCAGAGAGAAUGACUUUUUAUACAUCUAGAAUUUUCCGGAUUUACACCCUCCAAUGUGUAGAAAAUUGAAUUAUCUUUCCAAAGAUAUAAGAUUCUCCUAAAUUUGAUAAUCGAGUAAGAAGUUAUGUUUAUUUUAAGUUUCAAUCAUAAAACACCGUGAUUUGGGCCCGUGGCUCAUCGCGGAGAAGUGUAAGAUGACAAUUGUCAAUUUCCAGUAAGAUUCCACGAUUGUGGUAGAUCGCAGAGAGGUCCAAAUUUCCAAUUGUCGAAUUCUAGUGGCACUCCACGAUAUUGUCGCAUCGCGCCAGAGGACAAAAUAGCAAUCAAAAGGGCACUGCAAUGGUGGCGCGUCAUGGUGAAUUCCCAGUUCUCACUUGUCCUUUUCCAGUGAUCCACUGCUAUAGUGGUGCAUCGCGGUGGCCUAGUAAUUCAAUAUUGAGGAUCCCCAAUUCAAAACUCUAAGAAUUCAUCUCCAAAGCAUCAAUAGAGAUCCAAGAUUCAAGCUUUUCAUCUAAGAUCAUCAAUUAAGGUAUGUGGGGUUAUGAACAAGGACAAUCCUUUCGUCCUUAUCUCCAAAACUUAUUUUAAUUUUAAUUUUACUUAAUUUUAUAUGAUUUUCCUAUAAAAUUCAAGUUGGGGUUUAUACCCAUUAUUCUUAUUUACAAGCUCAUGAGAUAUUCAGUGAUUUAGAAGUUGCAUUACAGUGAUUAUGUUCCUAUUUUCAUGCAUAUUGCAGUAAUUUCAAGAUUUUGAAUUAAGUUAUCAAUUUUUACAUUAUCAAGCAUGAACAUUAUAAUAUUUUAACAUGAGUUUGAUACAUGGGUCACUAAGUGCUAAUUAAAGAUUGCUAUUUCGAGAUUUGUUGUACUAUAAGCACCUUAUGACUAGAUUCUUCUCAGAUUAUAGAUAAAGAUUUAACCUUUUGGUCUUAGAAUAGAUAUGAAAAAUCCACGUUACAGAUUCAGAUUACAAACUUAGCUUCACAGAUAUAUAGUUGGUUUUGAUUAUAAAUCAUUAUACUAUUUUAAAAAGGGGAUCUUCAUCAGAAUGAGCAUACAGAUUUAAUGGGAGUAGUAUUUAGCACCGAGAUGGGUACAUUACUACGGUUUCAUAACCCAGAACUAUGUGCCAAUGUAGGAUUCAUGAUUUGUUCCCACUUCUAUAUGGGUGAUAGAUAUGUGAUCACUCAGAUAGGUUAUACUCCUUCGUAUGAGUAUGACUUCUCUCCCCAACGUGAGGAUUCCUCCUUAGGGGGACAAGAACGUUGGACUCCAAGAAUGAUCACAUGGUUUAUGUCGGUUAGAAGAAUCUCCCAUGCAGAAAAAGUUUUCAGAUUUCUAAAACCCUAAGAUAAAGUGUUUUCUUUACGUCUUUAAAGUUCUGGAAUUUAGAACAUUGCUUUACAUAUGCCUUUAGAUACAGACUUACAGAUUUCACUUAGCCUAUAUGAUUUGAGAAUAAGAAUAGAUUACAGAUUUCAGAACUAAGUGUUAUGACUCACAAGAUUUACGUUAUAUGCUUUUAUAUUCAUGAUUUAUGAUCUUUAGAUUUCAAAUUUAAUCAAGCCUAUGUGAGUCAUUUACAUUUAGCAUGCAUUAUUUUACAAAUUGUGAUGACAUUGCUUACUUAUUGCAUUCGCCCCCAUAUGCUUAGUACUUUCCCAAAGUACUGAUCCACAUACACGCCUAUGUGCUACAUUGUCUCAUAAUGUAGGUUCAGGUUCUCGGUCUUAGCAGUGUGAGUGACUUUCGAGCAUCUCAUCUGCAUCUCUAUAGUUGGUGAGCACUCUUAGUUCGAGGACUUAGCUAUUCAAAUUUCCAGUUUAUUAGUAGAUGACUUAGCAUAUAUUUCAGAUAGUUUGAGUCAACUGGGGCCUAUCCCAGUGACUCUCUAAAUUUAGUAAGUCGAGGCUUGUUGGACUACUAGAUUUAAUUUUAGAUAUUAGAUGCAGCAUUCAGAUU
Long non-coding RNA from Capsicum annuum, 2400 nucleotides. RefSeq lists it as uncharacterized. The transcript has 2 exons. The record is from RefSeq and is a predicted model, not a curated record. NCBI's taxonomy places the organism in Eukaryota, Viridiplantae, Streptophyta, Magnoliopsida, Solanales, Solanaceae.